RNAcentral lists this ribosomal RNA (200 nucleotides) under uncultured bacterium. RNAcentral describes it as "partial 16S ribosomal RNA". It matches the Rfam family "Bacterial small subunit ribosomal RNA", at positions 524 to 723 of the family's 1533-position model. The record is from RNAcentral.
UACGAAGGGGGCUAGCGUUGUUCGGAAUCACUGGGCGUAAAGGGCGCGUAGGCGGCUUGAUAAGUCGGGGGUGAAAGCCUGUGGCUCAACCACAGAAUUGCCUUCGAUACUGUCGAGCUUGAGACCGGAAGAGGUAAGUGGAACUGCGAGUGUAGAGGUGAAAUUCGUAGAUAUUCGCAAGAACACCAGUGGCGAAGGCG